GAUGAAGAACGUAGCGAAACGCGAUAUGUAAUGUGAAUUGCAGAAUUCAGUGAAUCAUCGAAUCUUUGAACGCACAUGGCGCCUUCCAGUAUCCUGGGAGGCAUGCCUGUCCGAGCGUCGUUUCAACCCUCGAGCCCCCGUGGCCCGGCGUUGGGGAUCUGCCACGGCAGGCCCCUAAAACCAGUGGCGGACCCGAAGGCCCUCUCCUUUGCGCAGUAGCAUCAGCCUCGCAUUGGGAUCCCUCGGCGACCUGCCUCUAAACCCCCCACAAGUCCGCUCCGGCGGCACCAAGGUUGACCUCGGAUCAGGUAGGAAUACCCGCUGAACUUAAGCAUAUCAAUAAGCGGAGGA
Molecule: unclassified non-coding RNA, 351 nt
Filed under: soil metagenome
Description: partial contains 5.8S ribosomal RNA, internal transcribed spacer 2, and large subunit ribosomal RNA
Rfam family: 5.8S ribosomal RNA (bases 1-120)
Source: RNAcentral